UGUCAAGGGAUGGGAAUCGAACCCACGAUCUUCCGCUUACCGGGCAGAUGCCAUGACCACUAGGCUACCCUGGAC
This 75-nucleotide transfer RNA is filed under the name Cordylochernes scorpioides. RNAcentral describes it as "tRNA-Thr". The record is from RNAcentral. Lineage: Eukaryota; Metazoa; Arthropoda; Arachnida; Pseudoscorpiones; Chernetidae.